UACGUAGGGUGCAAGCGUUAAUCGGAAUUACUGGGCGUAAAGCGUGCGUAGACGGUUGCGUAAGUCAGAUGUGAAAGCCCCGGGCUCAACCUGGGAAUUGCAUUUGAGACUGCGCAGCUAGGGUGCGGAAGAGGGAAGCGGAAUUUCCGGUGUAGCGGUGAAAUGCGUAGAUAUCGGAAGGAACACCAGUGGCGAAAGCGGCUUCCUGGUCCAGCACCGACGUUCAGGCACGAAAGCGUGGGGAGCAAACAGG
RNAcentral lists this ribosomal RNA (253 nucleotides) under uncultured bacterium. Its description in RNAcentral is "partial 16S ribosomal RNA". It matches the Rfam family "Bacterial small subunit ribosomal RNA", at positions 524 to 776 of the family's 1533-position model. The record is from RNAcentral.